GGGCAGGCAGUAGCCCCAAGCUUGCCCAACUGGGCAGAGGAUCCUCCUCCCGUCGCCACCGGAUUCUCAGAGAUCAAAGCUUCUAAGCUGCUCAUGGCACCAAGACCAUCACGACUCUGCUGCCACUGGCAGGGUGGCAGAAAGCCACCCUGAAGACAGCUCCUGGGCCACAAUACUUGGACCUUUCCAUACUGGGACAGUUCACCAAAAGAUCUCACUUCCUUGAACUCUAAACAGCAAAGUACUCAAGCAGACCUCUUCUUUCCCCUCCUUUUAUUAAGACAACCUGUUUCUUUCUAAUUGAAACAGCCAUUGCCCUCCGGAGAGAUAACCGAGAGGGAGGGGAGGCCGAGCCAAGCGAACAGGAUCCACUCUCCAAUGUGCAGCUUGUGCAUGGUUAAUGGAUGCUGGGCAUUAAUAUUUCUUACCCUUUUGUCUGUGCUCACUGUAAUAGAAACCCCUGUCUAGACUGAGUGGCUACUACCAGUAAUCCCAGUAAUAUCCAGUAAAAUCACUCUGAAAGGCGAUAGCUGUAGUUAUCAAGGAGCAGCAGGAUUAGCUUGAUUGAUUGAACAAUGGACUUCUGGUUUUUAACAUGAUCUAUAUGUGUCCCAGAAAAAUCAAAAAUAUACAUAUGGUUGUAAACCCUUCAGUGCUGGGCAACUUAUCAUGGCCUGUAAAUGCACUGACACGCCCUAAAAGGAGAGAGAUUAGUCUGCUCCAGAGGAAAGGCUGAGUGGUAGUGGCCAUAAAGAAAUACUUUCACUCAAUCAGCUUCUGCAGGCAGCCUCUCUACUGGCCCAACAGUGCAGGCUUGGGCCAAGCCUUCCUGGAAAGCCCUUUCCUCAGACUGCAUCACCUGUGAAGAGUUCUGCACUCAGUGCAACCAAGAGGAGCAUUCUCCCUUCCUGCUGUGGCCUCUGCUCUGCUCCCUCAACAGAUGACCAUGCCCCUGACCCAGGGAUGCUGUGUUCUGCACCAAAUCACACUCGACUCAUUCACUGGGUUUAAAUGAGCAGUAAAGGCUCCAGGCCCAGGUGUAGAGCAUCAUCCACUUGUGUAAUGAGCACAGGAUGUUUUGCUUGCUGUCCAAGGGCUGCAGGAGUGCAUCUGAUCCCUCUGCUGUGAGCUGAGCUAAUCUGUGGUGGGGCUGACUAGUUCACAGCAACGAAUAAUUCAUUAGUAGAGGACUAAGACCUGGAACCAGGACUCCUGCAUUCAUUUCCAGCUCUGCUCACAGUCCUCUUUGUGAGCUUAGUUAAACCUUUGAGCUCUUGCAUGGCUUGGUACAAGACUGGAAAUGAGAAAAAUGCUCUUACCUGGGAAAAUGGAGCUAGCAUUGGAAAGCUGCAUGCAUGGGUAGGUAGAAAAUGGCCCAGUGCUCAAACUAGGCAAGCAUCAGGCUUUAGGAAAGUCAGCUGAAAUAGAUUCCUCAAGUAAAGAAUAACGACCCAGAGAGCUACACUUUGUCUCUGGAGUUCACAGUCAAUUCUCACCAAAUUCAAAGGCAGGCAUCCUGAGCCCCCAGCAGCACCCAGCUGUGAGAAAGGGAACAAAAAGAUGGCUGUAUGGUUUCAGCUCCUCAGGAAGGGCUCCUGGCAGUGCCUGGCAAGGGGGCUGACUUUGUGGCUUAUCUAUGGUGCAACAGCAAACAACAGUACUGCAAAGAACUGAAAAGCUGGUAGUCUUUGCAAGUCCUGCUGAUGGUUCAGACACUCAAUCUUCCAGCCCUGUGUCCCACUGCAGCAAGAGGCAAAGCUUCCUUCCCCUUCGUGACACACCUGCAAACUACCUCUCCUCUGGUUCCUGCACUGAAAGCACAGAAGAGGUGGUUUAAGCUUGCUUGAAAUACCAAUUAAAAGAGCUCUCACUGUGUUGCUGAUUGUUAGACAGCCCACACUGCCUCACCUGGGAGCAGUGUGCUGCAAGGAGGCUGCUUGCUCCCUCUGUUUCUGCCAGUGAGCCAACUGGAGCAGGAAAAGGAGCUCCACAAAAGUCCCUCACUCUUUGCCCUCUUGUUAUUUUCCUAGUGGAAAGGUCUUUAUUUCUGUGAGCUGAGUCUGCACCCCCUGGUGACCAAGCCCAACAUUUAGAAUGAGCAAAAGCUGAACGAUUUUAACCACUUUCACUCCACCAGCUGCUGUGGAGCUCUGACAAUCUCUUAGGUCAAGACGUGCUCCAUGCCUAGCAAAAGGUGGUUGCAGAGCUCACUGAGCUGACCUGACACUGAACCUUUCACUGAGCCCUUCCAGCGCAGGAAAAUAUUUGUUUUAUUAGGGCCCUGCAGAACUCAUCCCAGUCCAGGUACUGGGAUUAAGACCAAAUGUGUUAAGCUUGCAUUAGCAAAGCUACAAGGGAGCUGCGUUUGGGGAGGUAUCUGACUUGGUUUGUAGCUGCUGCAAUGGCACAGUACAAGAUCUGGGCUAAUGAUAGCACUCAUGGCACCUUGAGGUGGGGACUCCACAAAGGGGACAGCCCUAUCCUGUGUCAAAGAUUGUUUUCAAAGGAUUAGGUAGAGCAGGCUCCCUGGAUUCCAAGAAAUUCCUUUUACUAGGAAAUUCCUGAGGCUCUCCUGGCUGGCUGAGCAACCUCAGGUCCUCAAGUCUUGGUUA
Long non-coding RNA from Pogoniulus pusillus (Red-fronted tinkerbird), 2612 nucleotides. RefSeq lists it as uncharacterized. The record is from RefSeq and is a predicted model, not a curated record. NCBI's taxonomy places the organism in Eukaryota, Metazoa, Chordata, Aves, Piciformes, Lybiidae. The transcript has 2 exons.